RNAcentral lists this ribosomal RNA (2021 nucleotides) under human gut metagenome. RNAcentral describes it as "bacterial LSU rRNA". It matches the Rfam family "Bacterial large subunit ribosomal RNA", at positions 1 to 2048 of the family's 2925-position model. The record is from RNAcentral.
UAAAGCAAGAAAGGGCGUAUGGGGAAUGCCUAGGCACACUCCGGCGAAGAAGGACGCAGCAAACAGCGAAAUGCGACGGUGAGCGGUAAGCACGUGAAGAGCCGUCGAUAUCCGAAUGGGGGAACCCACACGGAGUCAUAUCCGUGUAUCACAUGUCGAAUACAUAGACAUGAUGAGGCGAGACGCAGGGAACUGAAACAUCUAAGUACCUGCAGGAAGAGAAAAUAAGAAUGAUUUUCUGAGUAGCGGCGAGCGAAAGGGAAAGAGCCCAAACCGAUUUUAGGAUCGGGGUAGUAGGAUCAUCGAGGAAUCUGACAGAGGAUCAUAGAGGAAUCACAUGGGAAGGUGAGCGAGAGAGGGUGAGAGCCCCGUACUCGAAAUGAGAGACUGGAGAGAGAUGACACCUGAGUAGGGCGGGACACGAGAAAUCCUGUCUGAAUCAGCCGGGACCAUCCGGCAAGGCUAAAUACGAGAGAGUGACCGAUAGUGAACCAGUACCGUGAGGGAAAGGUGAAAAGAACCCCGGGAGGGGAGUGAAAGAGAACCUGAAACCAUAUGCCUACAAGAAGUCAGAGCCCGUUAAAGGGUGAUGGCGUGCCUUUUGUAGAAUGAACCGGCGAGUUACUGUAUGGAGCGAGGUUAAGCAGGAUAUGCGGAGCCGAAGCGAAAGCGAGUCUUAAGAGGGCGAGAGUUGCAUGCAGUAGACCCGAAACCGGGUGAUCUAGCCAUGACCAGGUUGAAGUUGGGGUAAAACCCGAUGGAGGACCGAACCGACCCCCGUUGAAACGUUGGCGGAUGAGUUGUGGCUAGGGGUGAAAUUCCAAUCGAACCCGGAGAUAGCUGGUUCUCCCCGAAAUAGCUUUAGGGCUAGCGUCGAGGUAAGUUGCGUGAAGGUAGAGCACUGAAUAUGUGAUGGCCCCAUCUCGGGGUACUGAGCAUAAUCAAACUGCGAAUGUCACGCCAACAUGCUCGGCAGUCAGACAGCGGGUGAUAAGGUCCGUUGUCAAGAGGGAAACAGCCCAGACCAUCAGCUAAGGUCCCAAAAUGUAUGCUAAGUGGAAAAGGAUGUGGAGAUGUACAGACAACUAGGAGGUUGGCUCAGAAGCAGCCAUCCUUUAAAGAGUGCGUAACAGCUCACUAGUCGAAUGACUCUGCGCCGAUAAUUUACCGGGGCUAAGCAUACUACCGAAGCUAUGGAUCCCAAGGGAUGGUAGGGGAGCGUUCCAUGAACGGAGAAGUACGACCGAAAGGACGUGUGGAGAUCAUGGAAGAGAGAAUGCCGGUGUGAGUAGCGGAACGUGGGUGAGAAUCCCACGCACCGAAAACCCAAGGUUUCCAGAGGAAGGUUCGUCCGCUCUGGGUAAGUCGGGACCUAAGGCGAGGCCGAAAGGCGUAGUCGAUGGACAACAGGUAGAGAUUCCUGUACCCGUAUAUAUGUGAAGGAAUGACGGAGAGAGGAAGCUGCAGCCAGCGGCUGGAAGAGCUGGUGCAAGCGAGAUAUCGGGAUGGCAGGCAAAUCCACCAUCCGAAACGAGAAGGCGUGAAGCGUACGGAAAGCUACGGCGAGUACGGAAGGCAGUGGAGGAACUUCCAAGAAAAGUUUCUAACGUUAAGUAUAUAUGGCCCGUACCGAAAAUGGACACACAUGGGUGAGGAGAGAAUCCUAAGGUGAGCGAGAGAACUAUAGCUAAGGAACUCUGCAAAAUGACUCCGUAACUUAGGGAGAAGGAGUGCUCAUAGAGAUAUGAGCCGCAGUGAAACGGCCCAAGCGACUGUUUACCAAAAACACAGCUCUCUGCUAAGCCGCAAGGCGAAGUAUAGGGGGUGACGCCUGCCCGGUGCUGGAAGGUUAAGGGGAGGGGUUAACGCAAGUGAAGCCCUGAACUGAAGCCCCAGUAAACGGCGGCCGUAACUAUAACGGUCCUAAGGUAGCGAAAUUCCUUGUCAGGUAAGUUCUGACCCGCACGAAAGGCGUAAUGAUUUGGGCACUGUCUCAACAGCCCGCCCGGCGAAAUUGUAGU